AGAAGUAAAAGUCGUAACAAGGUUUCCGUAGGUGAACCUGCGGAAGGAUCAUUAAUGUGUUUGGGCCUCACGGCUCUUCAUUCCGACGCUGUGCGCCUUCGGGCUGCACGCUGAGGGAGCAUAUAUCCACCCCUGUGCACACACACGGUGGCGAGCUGGGUAACGGCUCGCCGCUGAUCUUUACACACGUCUAAAAGUCAUUGUAUGUUUAUUUGAGAUAAAAACACAACUUUCAGCAACGGAUCUCUUGGCUCUC
This 256-nucleotide unclassified non-coding RNA is filed under the name plant metagenome. RNAcentral's name for it is "partial contains small subunit ribosomal RNA, internal transcribed spacer 1, and 5.8S ribosomal RNA". The stretch from base 1 to 54 matches the Rfam family "Eukaryotic small subunit ribosomal RNA", at positions 1778 to 1831 of the family's 1831-position model. The record is from RNAcentral.